This 95-nucleotide non-coding RNA is filed under the name Paracoccus denitrificans. Its description in RNAcentral is "Glycine sequence". It matches the Rfam family "Glycine riboswitch aptamer". Rfam says of the family: This family represents the bacterial glycine riboswitch. Glycine riboswitches usually consist of two metabolite-binding aptamers domains with similar structures in tandem. The record is from RNAcentral. RNAcentral also lists the same sequence under 1 other name. Lineage: Bacteria; Pseudomonadati; Pseudomonadota; Alphaproteobacteria; Rhodobacterales; Paracoccaceae.
GACCGCCACUCUGGAGAGAGAUGCGACAGCAUCCGCCGAAGGAGAAAGCCGCGAAGCGCGGCGAUACUCUCAGGCAAAAGGACAGAGGGGGGAUG